Molecule: ribosomal RNA, 425 nt
Filed under: uncultured bacterium
Lineage: Bacteria
Description: bacterial SSU rRNA
Rfam family: Bacterial small subunit ribosomal RNA
Source: RNAcentral
AACGAACGCUGGCGGCAGGCCUAACACAUGCAAGUCGAACGCUCGUAGCAAUACGGGAGUGGCAGACGGGUGAGUAACACGUGGGAACCUUCCCUAUGGUUCGAAUAGCUCAGGGAAACUUGGGGUAAUACCGGAUAAGCCCUUCGGGGAAAGAUUUAUCGCCAUUGGAUGGGCCCGCGUCGGAUUAGCUAGUUGGUGAGGUAACGGCUCACCAAGGCAACGAUCCGUAGCUGGUCUGAGAGGAUGAUCAGCCACACUGGGACUGAGACACGGCCCAGACUCCUACGGGAGGCAGCAGUGGGGAAUAUUGGACAAUGGGCGCAAGCCUGAUCCAGCCAUGCCGCGUGAGUGACGAAGGUCUUCGGAUUGUAAAACUCUUUUGGCGGGACGAUAAUGACGGUACCCGCAGAAUAAGCACCGGCCAA